This 496-nucleotide ribosomal RNA is filed under the name marine gamma proteobacterium SWAT3. RNAcentral's name for it is "bacterial SSU rRNA". It matches the Rfam family "Bacterial small subunit ribosomal RNA", at positions 49 to 529 of the family's 1533-position model. The record is from RNAcentral. Lineage: Bacteria; Pseudomonadati; Pseudomonadota; Gammaproteobacteria.
UAACACAUGCAAGUCGAGCGGAAACGANUUAUCUGAACCUUCGGGGAACGAUAACGGCGUCGAGCGGCGGACGGGUGAGUAAAUUGCCUUGAUGUGGGGGAUAACCAUUGGAAACGAUGGCUAAUACCGCAUAAUGCCUACGGGCCAAAGAGGGGGACCUUCGGGCCUCUCGCGUCAAGAUAUGCCUAGGUGGGAUUAGCUAGUUGGUGAGGUAAUGGCUCACCAAGGCGACGAUCCCUAGCUGGUCUGAGAGGAUGAUCAGCCACACUGGAACUGAGACACGGUCCAGACUCCUACGGGAGGCAGCAGUGGGGAAUAUUGCACAAUGGGCGAAAGCCUGAUGCANCCAUGCCGCGUGUAUGAANAAGGCCUUCGGGUUGUAAAGUAACUUUCAGUUUGUGAGGAAUGGGGNUUGUCGUUAAUAGCGGCAUCUCUUGACGUUAGCAACAGAAGAANCACCGGCUAACUCCGUGCCNUCANCCGUGGUAAUACCCGA